Molecule: long non-coding RNA, 1093 nt
Organism: Argentina anserina (silverweed cinquefoil)
Lineage: Eukaryota; Viridiplantae; Streptophyta; Magnoliopsida; Rosales; Rosaceae
Exons: 7
Source: RefSeq, a predicted model, not a curated record
CUCCGUCCUCUCUUUCACCCAAUUCCACCGUCCGGCCUCUUCUCGGCGGCGUGCCAUCAUCAAGCAAACCUUCGCAUGAUUCUCUCUCCAUCCUUGGUCACGGUUCAACCAUGCAGCAACUCUUUGAGAAGAUCGGUAAAGGAGCUUGACGAUCCCAAUUCCGAUCAAUUUCUCUAUCUCCGGCCUACCCAUGACUUGAAUGUGUUCCUCCAGUGCUUUCUGCAAAUUCCAGCGAGACUGCAACCUUACGGCUUCGACUCCAGCUUCUAAUUGUAAGCUAUACCUUCCCCAACAUCUUUAACCUUUCAAUGAUUCCAAUUUCAUAAAUUUGAGUUAAAUCGGGCUUUUUCCUCUUUCUGCAUAUUCAUGUUUUCUGCCGCCGUGAACCACCGUCAUCGACGACUCUCCGGCAACGUUUGAGAAAAGAGGAGGACCUCACUAAGCCUUGCAUAUCAGUUGAGUUUUGGAGCAGCAUGAAUAUUUUCUCAAUAAGAGAGAUGCAAUUGCUCUCUUUCUGAUCACUUGGGAAAUCACAUUAGAGUUGAGGAGCAGAAUGUACAUUUCAAUAUUAGAAGCUUCAAGGGACAUGGAAAAGCUACUGUAUUGGGUAUUCAUCUUCUAGAACGAAAUUGAAGUUGAAUGGUAAUAUUGGAUGACGUCUGAGACUUAGGAGACAUAAGGAGUACGUUUGUGGACCUCCGUUUGAGUUGAAAGUCGACAGAAGCUUGGAGGUUUAUACAAAGCAAUUGAGGAAUUCCAGCAAGCAUUUGGAACUUCACACAACGUUUGCAAGAUUCUGGCAUGGCCAUUGAAGGAAAAGGCUACAAUCGUGUUAUUUCGGAUUCUGGACUUGGCAUUUCAUUUCUAUAGCGCUGCUCGGGGAUUAUAUCAAGUUAUAAGGAUUGCUCAGCUUGGAGCUUACGUUUUGGAUUUGGGGAUUUCUGCACUUCAAUCUAGACACGGGCACGGCGACACGACACGGCGCGACACGGCGCGACACGGCGACACAGCAAAUAUGAAAAACUCUUCUUUCGACACGGCUCCGACACGGCAAAUAAAAAAUAUUUAUAUAUAUUUUUAAUACAUAAAAUAA